UACGUAGGGGGCAAGCGUUGUCCGGAAUCAUUGGGCGUAAAGAGCGUGUAGGCGGCCCGGUAAGUCGGUUGUGAAAGUCAGGGGCUCAACCCUUGAAUGCCGACCGAUACUGUCGGGCUAGAGUCCGGAAGAGGCGAGUGGAAUUCCUGGUGUAGCGGUGAAAUGCGCAGAUAUCAGGAGGAACACCAAUGGCGAAGGCAGCUCGCUGGGACGGUACUGACGCUGAGACGCGAAAGCGUGGGGAGCAAACAGG
RNAcentral lists this ribosomal RNA (253 nucleotides) under uncultured bacterium. RNAcentral's name for it is "partial 16S ribosomal RNA". It matches the Rfam family "Bacterial small subunit ribosomal RNA", at positions 524 to 776 of the family's 1533-position model. The record is from RNAcentral.